RNAcentral lists this ribosomal RNA (406 nucleotides) under uncultured bacterium. RNAcentral's name for it is "partial 16S ribosomal RNA". It matches the Rfam family "Bacterial small subunit ribosomal RNA", at positions 30 to 526 of the family's 1533-position model. The record is from RNAcentral.
AUUGAACGCUGGCGGCAGGCCUGACACAUGCAAGUCGAACGAGUGGCGCACGGGUGAGUAAUGUCUGGGAAACUGCCUGAUGGAGGGGGAUAACUACUCGGCAGGCUAGCUGACACCGCCUACCAUCAGAUGGGCCCAUAUGGGAUUCGCUAGUGGGGGGGGUAACGGCUCACCAAGGCGACGAUCCCUAGCUGGUCUGAGAGGAUGACCAGCCACACUGGAACUGAGACACUGUCCAGACUCCUACGGGAGGCAGCAGUGGGGAAUCUUGCACAAUGGGCGCAAGCCUGAUGCAGCCAUGCCGCGUGAAUGAAGAAGGCCUUCGGGUUGUAAAGUACGUUCAGCGGGGAGGCGUUACCCGCAGAAGAAGCACCGGCUAACUCCGUGCCAGCAGCCGCGGUAAUUC